GAGUUUGAUCCUGGCUCAGGAUGAACGCUAGCGACAGGCUUAACACAUGCAAGUCGAGGGGCAGCGGGGGCGAAGCUUGCUUCGCCUGCCGGCGACCGGCGCACGGGUGAGUAACACGUAUGCGACCUGCCCCCCGCAGGGGGAUAACCGGGAGAAAUCCCGACUAAUACCGCGUAACGCCGCGGGGCUGCAUGGCCCCGCGGCCAAAGGAAGCGAUUCCGGCGGGGGAUGGGCAUGCGGCGCAUUAGCUAGUCGGCGGGGUAACGGCCCACCGAGGCGACGAUGCGUAGGGGUUCUGAGAGGAAGGUCCCCCACACUGGUACUGAGACACGGACCAGACUCCUACGGGAGGCAGCAGUGAGGAAUAUUGGUCAAUGGGCGGGAGCCUGAACCAGCCAAGUCGCGUGAGGGAAGACGGUCCUACGGAUUGUAAACCUCUUUUGCCGGGGAGCAACGGGGUCCUUGCGAGGGCCCAAUGAGAGUACCCGGAGAAAAAGCAUCGGCUAACUCCGUGCCAGCGGCCGCGGUAAUACGGAGGAUGCGAGCGUUAUCCGGAUUUAUUGGGUUUAAAGGGUGCGUAGGCGGGCUGUUAAGUCAGCGGUCAAAUGUCGGGGCUCAACCCCGGCCUGCCGUUGAAACUGGCGGCCUCGAGUGGGCGAGAAGUAUGCGGAAUGCGUGGUGUAGCGGUGAAAUGCAUAGAUAUCACGCAGAACUCCGAUUGCGAAGGCAGCAUACCGGCGCCCUACUGACGCUGAGGCACGAAAGCGUGGGUAUCGAACAGGAUUAGAUACCCUGGUAGUCCACGCAGUAAACGAUGAAUGCUAGCUGUCCGGUUCUACGGGACUGGGUGGCACAGCGAAAGCGUUAAGCAUUCCACCUGGGGAGUACGCCGGCAACGGUGAAACUCAAAGGAAUUGACGG
RNAcentral lists this ribosomal RNA (921 nucleotides) under uncultured bacterium. RNAcentral describes it as "bacterial SSU rRNA". It matches the Rfam family "Bacterial small subunit ribosomal RNA", at positions 9 to 916 of the family's 1533-position model. The record is from RNAcentral.